UGAAAUCAAUACGUGUUCGAUGUUACCACUGUGAUGUAUCCAUAAAACAGCGAUCAUAGGCGUGGACUGGAAAUCGUUGACCAUCCCAGCUUGUCUGCCCAUCACGACCGAUUACUUCCCGGACAAGCGUAGCCUGCAAAACGACUACGUAGUCUCGGACUACGAUCUGCUACCCGACGACGUCAACGCGGACUACGCCCAGCAGCGAGCCAUCUACAGGAAGCCCCUUACCACCCCCGAGGUCUUCAAAGAACUCGUUUCUCAGCGGCUCGCACAGGGAUUCCAGUUGAUAAUCCUGCCACCGAGUAAAAAUCGAAUAGCGACGCCGGGCUCGGGCUCGGCGCCGCCGAUAAGUUCGAUCAUGCGGGCCGGUCGGCAGGCUGAUUCGGAGCACAAGGAGGAGUACUUGCUGAGCAUCGGCAGGAUGUUUCACAAAAUAUCGCUGCGCGGCAAUUCGAUCAGCGUUACCAGAUAUAGG
Copidosoma floridanum is the source of this 478-nucleotide long non-coding RNA. The record is from RefSeq and is a predicted model, not a curated record. Lineage: Eukaryota; Metazoa; Arthropoda; Insecta; Hymenoptera; Encyrtidae.